Molecule: ribosomal RNA, 450 nt
Filed under: uncultured bacterium
Lineage: Bacteria
Description: partial 16S ribosomal RNA
Rfam family: Bacterial small subunit ribosomal RNA
Source: RNAcentral
GUGGGGAAUAUUGGACAAUGGGCGAAAGCCUGAUCCAGCCAUGCCGCGUGUGUGAAGAAGGUCUUCGGAUUGUAAAGCACUUUAAGUUGGGAGGAAGGGCAGUAAGUUAAUACCUUGCUGUUUUGACGUUACCGACAGAAUAAGCACCGGCUAACUUCGUGCCAGCAGCCGCGGUAAUACGAAGGGUGCAAGCGUUAAUCGGAAUUACUGGGCGUAAAGCGCGCGUAGGUGGUUUUGUAAGUUGGAGGUGAAAUCCCCGGGCUCAACCUGGGAACUGCCUCCAAAACUGCAUGACUAGAGUACGGUAGAGGGUGGUGGAAUUUCCUGUGUAGCGGUGAAAUGCGUAGAUAUAGGAAGGAACACCAGUGGCGAAGGCGACCACCUGGACUGAUACUGACACUGAGGUGCGAAAGCGUGGGGAGCAAACAAGAUUAGAAACCCCUGUAGUCC